RNAcentral lists this ribosomal RNA (548 nucleotides) under Nicrophorus japonicus. RNAcentral describes it as "partial 16S ribosomal RNA". Lineage: Eukaryota; Metazoa; Arthropoda; Insecta; Coleoptera; Silphidae. The record is from RNAcentral.
CCGGUUUGAACUCAGAUCAUGUAAAAUUUUAAAGGUCGAACAGACCUAAAAUUCUAGCUUCUACGCCAAAACUUAAUUUUAAUCCAACAUCGAGGUCGCAAACUUCUUUUUCGAUUAGAACUCUUUAAAGAAAUUACGCUGUUAUCCCUAAGGUAAUUUAAUCUUAUAAUCAUAAAAAUGGAUCAAUAAACCAUAAAUUAAUGUUUUAAUAAAAAAAAAGUUUAAUAAAUUUUUCUAUCACCCCAAUAAAAUAUAACUUUAAAAUUUAAAAAUAAAAUACCUAAAGGUUAAAUAAAAAAAUUAUAUAAAAUUCUAUAGGGUCUUCUCGUCUUUUAAAAUUAUUUAAGCUUUUUAACUUAAAGAUAAAGUUUUAAUUAAUUUAAACAGAGACAGUUAUUUUCUCGUCCAACCGUUCAUUCCAGCUUUCAAUUAAAAAACUAAUUAUUAUGCUACCUUUGUACGGUCAAAAUACCGCAGCCAUUCAAAAUUCAUUGGGCAGGUCAGACUUUAUAUUAUCAACAAAAAGACAUGUUUUUGAUAAACAGGCG